Molecule: long non-coding RNA, 279 nt
Organism: Erigeron canadensis
Lineage: Eukaryota; Viridiplantae; Streptophyta; Magnoliopsida; Asterales; Asteraceae
Exons: 2
Source: RefSeq, a predicted model, not a curated record
ACAGGACGAUUGGGGAUGUUUUAUCACUCGAAUCGAAUCAUGUUUAUUCCAACAGUUUCUCCGUUUCUAGUAUCUUUUUGAGAGGCAACAGCCAUAUCUAGUCCCUGAUUUUCCUAGCAGGACAUACAAGGAUUGACCUUUUCACAAGACUUGAUUGAGACCAUUGCUCUGUUUGAAUUUCAAUGCAUAUCACCUUCAAUACCAUAUACGGUAGUUAGUAUCUUCUGUCACCACUUUUUAUCGAUCUAUAAACAGGAUUAUCAUAAGUUUAGAGUAAAA